UUUCUUAAUGCAUUUUCAUCUUUUCCAAGUCAUAGUCCUUUCAUUUCCAAACCUUAAAUCAGAAACUCGCAUCAUUGAUAUACUAAUAGUUAGACGGCCAAGACCUCAUACUCUCCCUCUCAAUGUUAAAAACUAUGAAAAUGAACUAUUGAUGGUAAAAACUAGAUCAAAUGAUUUUAUAGAUAAACAAUUACAAUCAAAGAUCAAUGUUAAUUGAUAAGUGUAUUUU
Molecule: long non-coding RNA, 229 nt
Filed under: Olea europaea (common olive)
Lineage: Eukaryota; Viridiplantae; Streptophyta; Magnoliopsida; Lamiales; Oleaceae
Description: long non-coding RNA (OEUR_LNC012317)
Source: RNAcentral